This 209-nucleotide unclassified non-coding RNA is filed under the name soil metagenome. Its description in RNAcentral is "partial contains 5.8S ribosomal RNA, internal transcribed spacer 2, and large subunit ribosomal RNA". The record is from RNAcentral.
AACCUAGCACACCUGCGGUGUGUACCUGCGGAGGGAUCAUUACCGAGUUUACAACUCCCAAACCCCUGUGAACAUACCACUUGUUGCCUCGGCGGAUCAGCCCGCUCCCGGUAAAACGGGACGGCCCGCCAGAGGACCCCUAAACUCUGUUUCUAUAUGUAACUUCUGAGUAAAACCAUAAAUAAAUCAAAACUUUCAGCAAUGGAUCU